Molecule: ribosomal RNA, 440 nt
Filed under: uncultured bacterium
Lineage: Bacteria
Description: partial 16S ribosomal RNA
Rfam family: Bacterial small subunit ribosomal RNA
Source: RNAcentral
CCUACGGGUGGCAGCAGGGGGGAAUAGUGCACAAUGGGGGAAACCCUGAUGCAGCGACGCCGCGGGAGGGAAGAAGGAGCUCGGUAUGGAAAGCUCUAGCAGCAGGGAAGAAAAUGACGGUACCUGACUAAGAAGCCCCGGCUAACUACGUGCCAGCAGCCGCGGUAAUACGUAGGGGGCAAGCGUUAUCCGGAUGUACUGGGUGUAAAGGGAGCGUAGGCGGCGCGGCAAGUCUGAUGUGAAAGCCCGGGGCUCAACCCCGGGACUGCAUUUGAAACUGUCGGGCUGGAGUGUCGGAGGGGCAAGUGGAAUUCCUAGUGUAGCGGUGAAAUGCGUAGAUAUUAGGAGGAACACCAGUGGCGAAGGCGGCUUGCUGGACGGCAACUGACGCUGAGGCUCGAAAGCGUGGGGAGCAAACAGGAUUAGAUACCCGAGUAGUC